This 1553-nucleotide long non-coding RNA is filed under the name Dermacentor andersoni. Its description in RNAcentral is "uncharacterized LOC126526344". Lineage: Eukaryota; Metazoa; Arthropoda; Arachnida; Ixodida; Ixodidae. The record is from RNAcentral.
UCCUAUUUUAAAGUUCAAUGCAGAAUGAAGGUGCCUCCCUGCAAUCUCCAAUUAUCAUUGUCUUGCACUAGCUGAUGCGAACUUGUGCUUUCAAAUUUCAUCAUCUCACCUAGUUUUCUGUCAUCCUUGACAGAAUUUCCCUUCCCUUGGCACCCAUUCUGCAACUCUAAUGGUCCACUGGUUAUCUACCCUAUGCAUUACAUGGCCUGCCCAGCUUCAUUUUUUCCUCUUAAUGUCUACUAGAAUAUCGACUAUCCACACUGCUCUCUUCCUGUCUCAUUGUCAUUUAUCAUUGCAUUGCUCUUUGUACGGCCCUUAACAUGUUCUCGAGAUUCUUCGUUAACCUCCAGGCUUAUGUGCCAUACUGCAUGCUUAGAAGAACAACGUGUCUACCAAGUUGACAUUUUCAAAUUCCCUGAUUUUUUCAGAUUUCACAGAACUUUGUUUUAUGUCAAGAUGGGCUGACACCAUGUCACCUGAUGCUGUCACUCUCUGGUCAGCUCUUUGCAAGGACAUGGUGCUAUGCAGCCUUCAGCUGCUGAAGAGGCAAGAUUACAUUUCUGAAUUACACUACACGAUUACAUUACAUUUGAAGAGGCAAGAUUACAUAUUUAAGUGUUUCAAUGUUUGGUGUCAUUGAUAAACCGUCAUAGGGAUUAUCUGCACCAGUGUUAUCAGAUCGCUUUCAAGAUAUGGGCCCGCUCUUCAAGGCAAAGCGACGAGAACAUGGAGUUCAAGAUAUGGUCCACGCGGCGCAUAAUGGUUUGACGUGGAUGGAUAAGGCACUAAAGAGCAGUAUCAGCUUAUAAUGAUCAGAACGUCAUCAGCACACCUGGCGCCGCCGUCUGCAGCAGUCCGUGUUGCUGCGACGCUGCUGUUUAUACCGGUCAUAUUAACUUCCAUAACACUCUUUUUUGUUCAAGUACCCUAAAGAGCCCAGGAGGCAUAGGGGUGGGGGAUGUUACGAUUGGCCAGCGGGGAUAGUGACCUUCUGGCUUCACUGCAAUGAAUCGCUUCGUGAAGCCAACAACACGCCCCCUUCGAAUAGCCCUUCGGAGCCAGUAAGGCUAGACACGUUUGGCGGACAGGAUUGUUAGCUGGUUCGCUGUCACCUUCAGGGACCAAUUGGAGCAAGAAAACUCCUGGAAAUGUUUGUUCUAUGGCAUUCCCCCAUGUACUCUGGUAAUAGUCACGGUCAUGACAGAUUCAGCAGCAAACUGCAGAGUCAGCUCAGGAACGACAUGCCAGCUUGAGUCAAGCGUGACAACACCUGUCUAUGAGGCCUCACUGGUUUUGGUGUGUUCAGUAAAACAAAAGUGCAAGAGAGUGUGUGAACCUUCGCCCUCAAAGGCGGGUACUUCGACGACUUUGGAUGCUUUGAUUGGAUGAAGGUUGGAUGGCAGCUUCCCCUGGCCUAGGGAUCUAGUAAGGACAGAGUGUGUUUAAGCAGACAUUUUCGGCUGUUCAGUGUGCAUUUCAGUCAUGCUAGACUGAUCAGAUGUAAUGUUCUCCACCCUUCAUGUAGAUAUUGUAAAUAAAUCCCCUACUCCUCA